UACGUAGGGCGCAAGCGUUAUCCGGAAUUAUUGGGCGUAAAGAGCUCGUAGGCGGUCUGUCGCGUCGGUCGUGAAAACUUGGGGCUUAACCCUGAGCUUGCGGUCGAUACGGGCAUGACUGGAGUUCGGCAGGGGAGACUGGAAUUCCUGGUGUAGCGGUGAAAUGCGCAGAUAUCAGGAGGAACACCGGUGGCGAAGGCGGGUCUCUGGGCCGAUACUGACGCUGAGGAGCGAAAGCGUGGGGAGCAAACAGG
This 254-nucleotide ribosomal RNA is filed under the name uncultured bacterium. RNAcentral's name for it is "partial 16S ribosomal RNA". It matches the Rfam family "Bacterial small subunit ribosomal RNA", at positions 524 to 776 of the family's 1533-position model. The record is from RNAcentral.